GGAGAGGUACCGAAGUGGUCAUAACGGGCCCGACUCGAAAUCGGGUGAUCCCUUAACCGGGGUCCGUGGGUUCGAAUCCCACCCUCUCCGCCA
RNAcentral lists this transfer RNA (93 nucleotides) under Gammaproteobacteria bacterium. Its description in RNAcentral is "tRNA-Ser". It matches the Rfam family "tRNA". Rfam says of the family: Transfer RNA (tRNA) molecules are approximately 80 nucleotides in length. Their secondary structure includes four short double-helical elements and three loops (D, anti-codon, and T loops). The record is from RNAcentral. Lineage: Bacteria; Pseudomonadati; Pseudomonadota; Gammaproteobacteria.